ACGGCUCAGUAACACGUGGAUAACCUGCCCUUGGGACCGGGAUAACCCCGGGAAACUGGGGAUAAUACCGGAUAACGCAUAUCUGCUGGAAUGCUUUACGCGUAAAAUGGAUUUGUCUGCCCAAGGAUGGGUCUGCGGCCUAUCAGGUAGUAGUGGGUGUAAUGUACCUACUAGCCUACGACGGGUACGGGUUGUGAGAGCAAGAGCCCGGAGAUGGAUUCUGAGACAUGAAUCCAGGCCCUACGGGGCGCAGCAGGCGCGAAAACUUUACAAUGCGGGAAACCGUGAUAAGGGGACACCGAGUGCCAGCAUCAUAUGUUGGCUGUCCAGAUGUGUAAAAUACAUCUGUUAGCAAGGGCCGGGCAAGACCGGUGCCAGCCGCCGCGGUAACACCGGCGGCCCGAGUGGUGAUCGUGAUUAUUGGGUCUAAAGGGUCCGUAGCCGGUUUGGUCAGUCCUCCGGGAAAUCUGACGGCUCAACCGUUAGGCUUUCGGUGGAUACUGCCAGACUUGGAACCGGGAGAGGUAAGAGGUACUACAGGGGUAGGAGUGAAAUCUUGUAAUCCCUGUGAGACCACCUGUGGCGAAGGCGUCUUACCAGAACGGGUUCGACGGUGAGGGACGAAAGCUGGGGGCACGAACCGGAUUAGAUACCCGGGUAGUCCCAGCCGUAAACGAUGCUCGCUAGGUGUCAGGCAUGGCGCGACCGUGUCUGGUGCCGCAGGGAAGCCGUGAAGCGAGCCACCUGGGAAGUACGGCCGCAAGGCUGAAACUUAAAGGAAUUGGCGGGGGAG
This 793-nucleotide ribosomal RNA is filed under the name uncultured archaeon. RNAcentral's name for it is "bacterial SSU rRNA". It matches the Rfam family "Archaeal small subunit ribosomal RNA", at positions 85 to 876 of the family's 1478-position model. The record is from RNAcentral.